ACCCGCUGAACUUAAGCAUAUCAAUAAGCGGAGGAAAAGAAACCAACAGGGAUUGCCUUAGUAACGGCGAGUGAAGCGGCAAAAGCUCAAAUUUGAAAUCUGGCACCUUCGGUGUCCGAGUUGUAAUUUGAAGAAGGUAACUUUGGAGUUGGCUCUUGUCUAUGUUCCUUGGAACAGGACGUCACAGAGGGUGAGAAUCCCGUGCGAUGAGAUGCCCAAUUCUAUGUAAAGUGCUUUCGAAGAGUCGAGUUGUUUGGGAAUGCAGCUCUAAGUGGGUGGUAAAUUCCAUCUAAAGCUAAAUAUUGGCGAGAGACCGAUAGCGAACAAGUACAGUGAUGGAAAGAUGAAAAGAACUUUGAAAAGAGAGUGAAAAAGUACGUGAAAUUGUUGAAAGGGAAGGGCUUGAGAUCAGACUUGGUAUUUUGCGAUCCUUUCCUUCUUGGUUGGGUUCCUCGCAGCUUACUGGGCCAGCAUCGGUUUGGAUGGUAGGAUAAUGACUAAGGAAUGUGGCUCUACUUCGGUGGAGUGUUAUAGCCUUGGUUGAUACUGCCUGUCUAGACCGAGGACUGCGUCUUUUGACUAGGAUGUUGGCAUAAUGAUCUUAANCCACCCGUCUGAAACACGGACCA
RNAcentral lists this ribosomal RNA (629 nucleotides) under Debaryomyces hansenii. RNAcentral describes it as "eukaryotic LSU rRNA". It matches the Rfam family "Eukaryotic large subunit ribosomal RNA", at positions 23 to 668 of the family's 3401-position model. Lineage: Eukaryota; Fungi; Ascomycota; Pichiomycetes; Serinales; Debaryomycetaceae. The record is from RNAcentral.